AGCAGCCGCGGUAAUUCCAGCUCCAAUAGCGUAUAUUAAAGUUGUUGCAGUUAAAAAGCUCGUAGUUGAAUUUCGAGAUCAAAUUGUUGGUCGUGCCUUGGUACGCACUGGCAUUAUUGGUUUCUCCCUUCUGACGAACCAUGAUGUCAUUAAUUUGGUGUCUUGGGGAAUCAGGACUGUUACUUUGAAAAAUUAGAGUGUUUAAAGCAGGCUUACGCUUGAAUACAUUAGCAUGGAAUAAUGAAAUAGGACGUUUGAUUCUAUUUUGUUGGUUUCUAGGAUCGACGUAAUGAUUAAUAGGGAUAGUUGGGGGCAUUAGUAUUCAAUUGUCAGAGGUGAAAUUCUUGGAUUUAUUGAAGACUAACUACUGCGAAAGCAUUUGCCAAGGAUGUUUUCAUUAAUCAAGAACGAAAGUUAGGGGAUCGAAGACGAUCAGAUACCGUCGUAGUCUUAACCAUAAACUAUGCCGACUAGGGAUCGGAUGAUGUUAAUUUUUAAUGA
This 501-nucleotide unclassified non-coding RNA is filed under the name uncultured Glomus. RNAcentral describes it as "SSU rRNA". It matches the Rfam family "Eukaryotic small subunit ribosomal RNA", at positions 569 to 1074 of the family's 1831-position model. The record is from RNAcentral. Lineage: Eukaryota; Fungi; Glomeromycota; Glomeromycetes; Glomerales; Glomeraceae.